Molecule: ribosomal RNA, 376 nt
Filed under: uncultured bacterium
Lineage: Bacteria
Description: bacterial SSU rRNA
Rfam family: Bacterial small subunit ribosomal RNA
Source: RNAcentral
AUUGAACGCUGGCGGCAUGCCUUACACAUGCAAGUCGAACGGCAGCGGACCUUCGGGUGCCGGCGAGUGGCGAACGGGUGAGUAAUAUAUCGGAACGUACCUUUCAGUGGGGGAUAACGUAGCGAAAGUUACGCUAAUACCGCAUAUUCUGUGAGCAGGAAAGCAGGGGAUCGCAAGACCUUGCGCUGAUUGAGCGGCCGAUAUCAGGAUUAGCUAGUUGAUGAGGUAAAGGCUCACCAAGGCGACGAUCUGUAGCGGGUCUGAGAGGAUGAUCCGCCACACUGGAACUGAGACAAGGUCCAGACUCCUACGGGAGGCAGCAGUGGGGAAUUUUGGACAAUGGGCGCAAGCCUGAUCCAGCCAUGCCGCGUGAGUG